GAUGAACGCUGGCGGCGCGCCUAACACAUGCAAGUCGAACGAUUAAAGCACCUUCGGGUGUGUAUAAAGUGGCGAACGGCUGAGUAACACGUGGGCAACCUGCCCCUCUCAUUGGGAUAGCGACGGGAAACCGUGGAUAAUACCGAAUACUUCGGGACUUCCGCAUGGAAGACUCGAGAAAGCUCCGGCGGUGAGGGAUGGGACGGCGGCCUGUUAGCUUGUUGGUGGGGCAUUGGCCUACCAAGGCAAGGAGGGGUAGCGGGGAUGGGAGCCCGGCCAGCCAGCAUGGGACUGAGACAGGGACCAGACUCCUACGGGAGGCAGCAGUGGGGAAUCUUGCACAAUGGGCGAGCGCCUGAUGAAGAGGCGCCGCGUGCGGGAUGAAGGCCUUCGGGUUGUAAAACGCUUUCAGCAGGGACGAGGCGAAAGUGACGGUACCUAAAGAAGAAGCCCCGGCUAACUACGUG
RNAcentral lists this ribosomal RNA (467 nucleotides) under uncultured bacterium. Its description in RNAcentral is "partial 16S ribosomal RNA". It matches the Rfam family "Bacterial small subunit ribosomal RNA", at positions 28 to 507 of the family's 1533-position model. The record is from RNAcentral.